GCUCGUAGUUGAAAUUCGGUCUGCCAGUCUUCGGACAUCAUGGCGGAUCUCCGCUUACAAUCUACUCGAGCUUUAAACCUUGAGUUGUAGAGUAGGCAGUUUACCUUGAAAAAAUUAGAGUGUUUCAGGCAGGUUUUCGCCGGAAUACAUUAGCAUGGAAUAAUGGAAUAGGACUUUAGCCUGAUGUUGGUUUUUGGCUAUUGUAAUGAUUAAUAGGGACAGAUGGGGGCAUUAGUAUUUAAUUGUCAGAGGUGAAAUUCUUGGAUUUAUUAAAGACUAACUUAUGCGAAAGCAUUUGCCAAGGAUGUUUU
Molecule: ribosomal RNA, 311 nt
Filed under: Paramecium bursaria
Lineage: Eukaryota; Ciliophora; Oligohymenophorea; Peniculida; Parameciidae
Description: SSU rRNA
Rfam family: Eukaryotic small subunit ribosomal RNA
Source: RNAcentral